Molecule: ribosomal RNA, 490 nt
Filed under: uncultured bacterium
Lineage: Bacteria
Description: partial 16S ribosomal RNA
Rfam family: Bacterial small subunit ribosomal RNA
Source: RNAcentral
AUUGAACGCUGGCGGCAGGCCUAACACAUGCAAGUCGAACGGUAACAGGAAGCAGCUUGCUGCUUUGCUGACGAGUGGCGGACGGGUGAGUAAUGUCUGGGAAACUGCCCGAUGGAGGGGGAUAACUACUGGAAACGGUAGCUAAUACCGCAUAACGUCGCAAGACCAAAGAGGGGGACCUUAGGGCCUCUUGCCAUCGGAUGUGCCCAGAUGGGAUUAGCUAGUAGGUGGGGUAACGGCUCACCUAGGCGACGAUCCCUAGCUGGUCUGAGAGGAUGACCAGCCACACUGGGACUGAGACACGGUCCAGACUCCUACGGGAGGCAGCAGUGGGGAAUAUUGCACAAUGGGCGCAAGCCUGAUGCAGCCAUGCCGCGUGUAUGAAGAAGGCCUUCGGGUUGUAAAGUACUUUCAGCGGGGAGGAAGGGAGUAAAGUUAAUACCUUUGCUCAUUGACGUUACCCGCAGAAGAAGCACCGGCUAACUCCGUG